UCAAACUUGGUCAUUUAGAGGAAGUAAAAGUCGUAACAAGGUUUCCGUAGGUGAACCUGCGGAAGGAUCAUUACCUUUCAUGCCCUUCGGGGCACAGUUGGGGGCUACUCAGCCCCCCUCUGCAUCCUUGUCUUUUGCGUACUACAUGUUUCCUCGGCGGGCUUGCUCGCCGGUUGGACCAUUAUAAACUCUUUGUAAUUGCAAUCAGCGUCUGAAUAAAUUUAAUAUUUACAACUUUCAACAACGGAUCUCUUGGUUCUGGCAUCGAUGAAGAACGCAGC
Molecule: unclassified non-coding RNA, 281 nt
Filed under: uncultured fungus
Lineage: Eukaryota; Fungi
Description: partial contains small subunit ribosomal RNA, internal transcribed spacer 1, and 5.8S ribosomal RNA
Rfam family: Eukaryotic small subunit ribosomal RNA (bases 1-73)
Source: RNAcentral